Molecule: ribosomal RNA, 253 nt
Filed under: uncultured bacterium
Lineage: Bacteria
Description: partial 16S ribosomal RNA
Rfam family: Bacterial small subunit ribosomal RNA
Source: RNAcentral
UACGAAGGGGGCUAGCGUUGCUCGGAAUGACUGGGCGUAAAGGGCGCGUAGGCGGUUUGUACAGUCAGACGUGAAAUUCCCGGGCUCAACCUGGGGACUGCGUUUGAGACGUACAAGCUUGAGUAUGGAAGAGGGUCGUGGAAUUUCCAGUGUAGAGGUGAAAUUCGUAGAUAUUGGAAAGAACACCGGUGGCGAAGGCGGCGACCUGGUCCAUUACUGACGCUGAGGCGCGAAAGUGUGGGGAGCAAACAGG